CACUAGCGAUCCGCCGGUGGCUCUUUGGCCCUGGUGGGGAGCUUCCCGGAAACGAAAGUCUUCCGGUUCCGGGGGAAGUAUGGUUGCAAAGCUGAAACUUAAAGGAAUUGACGGAAGGGCACCACCAGGAGUGGAGCCUGCGGCUUAAUUUGACUCAACACGGGAAAACUCACCCGGCCCGGACACCGUGAGGAUUGACAGAUUGAUAGCUUUUUCAUGAUUCGGUGGGUGGUGGUGCAUGGCCGUUCUUAGUUCGUGGAUCGAUUUGUCUGGUUUAUUCCGAUAACGAGCGAGACUCCAGCCUACUAACUAGUGCGAGCAUUGCCUCUGUGCUUGUCACUUCUUAGAGGGAUUGGCUGCGUCUAGCGGCACGAAACGGAGCAAUAACAGGUCUGUGAUGCCCUUAGAUGUCCGGGGCUGCACGCGCGCUACACUGGCAAAAGCAGCGUGCUUGUCCGCCUCCGAAAGGAGCCGGUAAACCCUUGAAAAUUUGCCGUGAUUGGGAUCGGAAAUUGCAAUUAUUUUCCGUGAACGAGGAAUUCCUAGUAAGUGCGAGUCAUCAGCUCGCGU
Molecule: ribosomal RNA, 570 nt
Filed under: Hemicriconemoides sp. YD-2022
Lineage: Eukaryota; Metazoa; Nematoda; Chromadorea; Rhabditida; Criconematidae
Description: SSU rRNA
Rfam family: Eukaryotic small subunit ribosomal RNA
Source: RNAcentral